Mesocricetus auratus (golden hamster) is the source of this 301-nucleotide non-coding RNA. NCBI's taxonomy places the organism in Eukaryota, Metazoa, Chordata, Mammalia, Rodentia, Cricetidae. The record is from Rfam.
GCCAGGCGCAGUGGUGCACGCCUGUAGUCCCAGCUACUCAGGAGGCUGAGACAGGAGGAUCCCUUGAGUCCAGGAGUUCUGGGCUGUAGUGCACUAUGCCGAUCGGGUGUCUGCACUAAGUUUGGCAGCAAUAUGGUGACCUCCCAGGAGCGGGCGACCACCAGGUUUCCUAAGGAGGGGUGAACCGGUUCAGGUCGGAAACGGAGCAGGUCAAAACACAGUAACUAAUAGGCGUUAGAGGGAUGGCUCUGCAGCUAAGAGCACUUGUUACUCUUACAGAGGACCAGAGAGCUUGGCUUCC